Molecule: transfer RNA, 71 nt
Filed under: Kocuria massiliensis
Lineage: Bacteria; Bacillati; Actinomycetota; Actinomycetes; Micrococcales; Micrococcaceae
Also listed under: 2 other names
Rfam family: tRNA
About the family: Transfer RNA (tRNA) molecules are approximately 80 nucleotides in length. Their secondary structure includes four short double-helical elements and three loops (D, anti-codon, and T loops).
Source: RNAcentral
GGUGAGGUGGUCGAGUGGUUAGGCAGCGGCCUGCAAAGCCGUGAACGCGGGUUCGAAUCCCGUCCUCACCU